AGCGUAGACGGCAUGGCAAGUCUGAAGUGAAAGCCCGGGGCUCAACCCCGGGACUGCUUUGGAAACUGCUAAGCUUGAGUACAGGAGGGGCGAGUGGAAUUCCUAGUGUAGCGGUGAAAUGCGUAGAUAUUAGGAGGAACACCGGUGGCGAAGGCGGCCCGCUGGACUGUAACUGACGUUGAGGCUCGAAAGCGUGGGGAGCAAACA
RNAcentral lists this ribosomal RNA (207 nucleotides) under uncultured Lachnospiraceae bacterium. Its description in RNAcentral is "partial 16S ribosomal RNA". It matches the Rfam family "Bacterial small subunit ribosomal RNA", at positions 568 to 774 of the family's 1533-position model. The record is from RNAcentral. Lineage: Bacteria; Bacillati; Bacillota; Clostridia; Lachnospirales; Lachnospiraceae.